Molecule: long non-coding RNA, 1000 nt
Filed under: Marmota monax (woodchuck)
Lineage: Eukaryota; Metazoa; Chordata; Mammalia; Rodentia; Sciuridae
Source: RNAcentral
UUUCAACUUGCAAUCCUCCUGCCUCAGGCUCCCAAGCCACUGGGAUUAUUACAGGCGUGUGCCACUGUGCCUGGCUGGGACACAGAUUUUAGAGGGCACAUUUGUUAUUUCCACUUGGCCAAUUAUGAGUUCCUGGUACUGGUGCACAUAGAGCCUGCUGAAGUUCAGGACCAAGUCGUGUGAGUGUGGGACCACUAUACAUCAGGGAAGCUGCCACAAACAGCCAAGGUACUUCCUUGGGAUUCAGAGCUGGCAUGCAUCCUCCCUGAUGGACAUGACUUGCCUGUGCUAGUGCCUGGAACUGCUUUGUGUUUUUGUCUAUAGGUGUGUUCUUGCUAACACCACCGUGGACUGGGUACAUGCCUACACCAGAGCAGCAAACCCUCUGCCUGCUGGGUACGCACCGAAGUGCCUGGGAGUUCUGCUGCUGGACUACCUGGCAAAUCCAGACUACCACUGGACAGCUAGAUGUGACGGGGAAAGACUUUUAUUGCCACUCAAUAUGGGAUGGCAAUGGCUUUUAUUAAUCCUGGUGAUGGGACUUGUUUUUGAUUGUAUGUUGUUACAAUGUGUAUUUCUGUUGUGGCCUAUGGGUGCAGGGCUCUGUCCUCCUCACUAAGGGGUCAUUGCAGAAGAUUUCAGAUACAUAGAUUGUUCGGUGAGGAAUCUUAAAGGGGUGGUGUUGGGGCAGGACCAGAGUGGUUAUAGUUAGGCUGUCUUGCCAAGGCUUCUGGUGAGCUAUGGUACGCUUUUAGUGUGUGGCCAAGGCCAUGAAUCAGCUAUGUCAUGGUCAGUGUGUAGUCAGGUCAGAAAUACUCUGAUUCAGCCUAUGUACUCAAGUUCAUGAACAUUCACUUGUUAGCAUGCACCCACUUCUGUAACCCAUUAGCCAUGUGCCUUCUUUGUUUGGCCUGCAUAUAAAAAAAAAGGCCUAUGGAAAUGGCUCAGGGGCUGGGUAGAGGCUACUGUCACUUCUGAAUAAAGAAUGGCCAAUAUUCCU